GAGGGUAUAGCUCAAGGGUAGAGUAUGUGUUCAGCAUGCACAAGGUCCUGGGUUCAAUCUUCAGUAUCUCCA
Molecule: transfer RNA, 72 nt
Filed under: Camelus bactrianus (Bactrian camel)
Lineage: Eukaryota; Metazoa; Chordata; Mammalia; Artiodactyla; Camelidae
Also listed under: 1 other name
Rfam family: tRNA
About the family: Transfer RNA (tRNA) molecules are approximately 80 nucleotides in length.
Source: Rfam by way of RNAcentral